RNAcentral lists this ribosomal RNA (468 nucleotides) under uncultured bacterium. Its description in RNAcentral is "partial 16S ribosomal RNA". It matches the Rfam family "Bacterial small subunit ribosomal RNA", at positions 28 to 507 of the family's 1533-position model. The record is from RNAcentral.
GACGAACGCUGGCGGCGUGCUUAACACAUGCAAGUCGAACGGAAAGGCCCUGCUUUUGUGGGGUGCUCGAGUGGCGAACGGGUGAGUAACACGUGAGUAACCUGCCCUUUACUUUGGGAUAACUUCAGGAAACUGGGGCUAAUACCGGAUAGGAGCUCCUGCUGCAUGGUUGGGGUUGUAAAGUUUCGGCGGUUUGGGAUUGACUCGCGGCUUAUCAGCUUGUUGGUGGGUUAGUGGCUUACCAAGGCUUUGACGGGUAGCCGGCCUGAGAGGGUGACCGGCCACAUUGGGACUGAGAGACGGACCAGACUCCUACGGGAGGCAGCAGGGGGGAAUAUUGCACAAUGGGCGGAAGCCUGAUGCAGCAACGCCGCGUGCGGGAUGACGGCCUUCGGGUUGUAAACCGAUUUGGCCUGUGACGAAGAGUGAGUGACGGUAAUGGGUAAAGAAGCACCGGCUAACUACGUG